AAAUGAGGAAAGGAAGAGACUGUGACAUAAGAAACUUACUUCCUGGAGGGAAGAGGAACUUCAGUGACCUGGUAUUGCAUGGAAGAGAUGGACUUCCUGUUCUGAUUGGAGGCUGCAUUCUUUUGAGAUGCCGUAUAGGAGAGAACACAAUCUUGGCCCUGAGAGAUGGUAUGAGGUCUCAAAAACUGACACCAAAAACUACAUCUGGUGCCUAACGUGAGCCUGCUGGAGGGCAAUCCACAGUGUUUCUGACAGGUGUAGACAUCUUUGGACUGAGGCUCACUCUGGUUUUAUCUGAAGAUUCUGGACAUAGCUUCUGGGCUGGUGCUUCCUAACCCAGGUAAUGGUAAUGGGACCAACUGUCAUGUUUCUCAGCAAAGUCACAGUAUUUUGGGUAGGACACGCCACUAGCCCAGUUCAACCUGCGUCUAAAUACAUGGUGUCCAAAAUGGACCAUAAUUUGUGGUCCACUCAUUCAACCCACAGCCCUUUGCCAGGACUGGAAACUAUGUAAAGAGGCAUGAAUGAAUGGAGUCCACACUUGCUGAAUUGCAACGAAGGGCACUAGGAGUUUUUGCCUAGAGGACACAUGGUGGAUGAGGGAGGAGGCAGUGAAAGUAAAACACUGAUUUUAUAUUUACAAUGUGCAAGGUACUAUAAUAGGCUCUG
Long non-coding RNA from Fukomys damarensis (Damara mole-rat), 669 nucleotides. RefSeq lists it as uncharacterized. The transcript is spliced from 4 exons. The record is from RefSeq and is a predicted model, not a curated record. NCBI's taxonomy places the organism in Eukaryota, Metazoa, Chordata, Mammalia, Rodentia, Bathyergidae.